RNAcentral lists this long non-coding RNA (230 nucleotides) under Mytilus galloprovincialis (Mediterranean mussel). The record is from RNAcentral. Lineage: Eukaryota; Metazoa; Mollusca; Bivalvia; Mytilida; Mytilidae.
AUUAAGAAUUAAAUAAAUAGGAAACAAAUGGCAAGAUAAAAAAAAACUAGCGCUGGGAGCUAACGAGCAAUUUUCUUUUUGAGUCUCACUGCUUAUCAUUAUCAGUUUCAAAAAGACAAGAAGUGUGUGUCCUAUAGUUGCUUACAUCCUGGAAAUUUGAUCUAUUGGAGAUGCUUGUUUUUUUGGGCAAUCAUACCACACCAUCCUACUUGUAUAGAAUCAAACCACAC